Molecule: ribosomal RNA, 497 nt
Filed under: uncultured bacterium
Lineage: Bacteria
Description: partial 16S ribosomal RNA
Rfam family: Bacterial small subunit ribosomal RNA
Source: RNAcentral
GAUGAACGCUGGCGGCGUGCCUAAUACAUGCAAGUCGAGCGAACGGACGAGAAGCUUGCUUCUCUGAUGUUAGCGGCGGACGGGUGAGUAACACGUGGAUAACCUACCUAUAAGACUGGGAUAACUUCGGGAAACCGGAGCUAAUACCGGAUAAUAUUUUGAACCGCAUGGUUCAAAAGUGAAAGACGGUCUUGCUGUCACUUAUAGAUGGAUCCGCGCUGCAUUAGCUAGUUGGUAAGGUAACGGCUUACCAAGGCAACGAUGCAUAGCCGACCUGAGAGGGUGAUCGGCCACACUGGAACUGAGACACGGUCCAGACUCCUACGGGAGGCAGCAGUAGGGAAUCUUCCGCAAUGGGCGAAAGCCUGACGGAGCAACGCCGCGUGAGUGAUGAAGGUCUUCGGAUCGUAAAACUCUGUCAUUAGGGAAGAACAUAUGUGUAAGUAACUGUGCACAUCUUGACGGUACCUAAUCAGAAAGCCACGGCUAACUACGUG